UUGAAUUAUAAGCAGCCCACAGUCCAAAAGAGGGGUUGGAGAGAGGCAGCUGGAGCUGACCGUGGUCAUCCUUCCAUAGCAGUUGUGGUCCUUGGAAAAGUUUUCUGGUGGGAGACAAAAAUCUGCCUUCCUGAAAUUUCCACCCUGUGGUUCCAGCCUGCUGGCUGCAGCAGCCAUUCUGAAAGCAGAGAUUUGCCCUUGGCUCCCUGAAUAUCACUUUCUGGGGUUGAGAGAUCACAUGCUGUGGAGGAAGCCAGACGCCAUGUUGUGAAGGCACGCAAACAGCCUACAGAGGUCCACAUGGUGAGGAACUGAGGCCUCCUGCAAACAGCUAGCAAUGACUUGCCAGGCAUAAGUAGCUACUUUGCAAAUGGGUCUUCCAGCUCAUCAGGCAUUCAAAUGACUGUAGCCUGACUGACAACUGACUGCAACCUCCUGAGACCUUGAAUCAGAACUGCCCAGCUCCCAAAUUCCUGACCCAUAGCAUCUGUGGGGUAUAAUAAAUGUUUCGGAAUAAUUAAUUACGCUUCAAUAGACAAUUGACACACA
RNAcentral lists this long non-coding RNA (549 nucleotides) under Homo sapiens (human). RNAcentral describes it as "non-protein coding lnc-TLDC2-5:4". The record is from RNAcentral. Lineage: Eukaryota; Metazoa; Chordata; Mammalia; Primates; Hominidae.